CUGACAAAAGAUAUGUUUUAUUAUUCCAUGCCUCACCAUUAAGCGAAGUAUUGCCAACACAUAUUAACAAAGGGGGGAACAUUUGGUUUUGAUUUUCAUAUUUACAAUCAAUUUACUUAACAUUUAGUAAUCAUCAUUAUUUAUGCAUGUAUUCACAAUUAUGUAGCAUUUAGUAAUCAUAAUUAUUCAUGCAACCAGCUGACAGUUGGAGGUGUGAUGUAUUUAAUGGAGAUGGAGGUGUGUUCUAGUGGGUCUGGGCAGGUGUGAUGUAGUUAAUGGAGAUGGAGGUGUGUUCUAGUGGGUGUGAUGUAGUUAAUGGAGAUGGAGGUGUGUUCUAGUGGGUCUGGGCAGGUGUGAUGUAGUUAAUGGAGAUGGAGGUGUGUUCUAGUGGGUCUGGGCAGGUGUGAUGAACUUCAUGUUUGUAUGAUGUUGUCGUUUGUAUGUUUUGUAUUGUUUAUAAAAAGAUAAAUAAAAUAUUUUUCCCAAUGCAACGUAA
Long non-coding RNA from Oncorhynchus tshawytscha (Chinook salmon), 496 nucleotides. The record is from Ensembl. Lineage: Eukaryota; Metazoa; Chordata; Actinopteri; Salmoniformes; Salmonidae.